AGAGGAUUUGCUUAUGUUCAAUAUCCUUUCUUCAGAUGGCUGAUUAGUGAGGGGUGUUGAAGUUUGAAAUUCAAGUUUAUGUAAGAGAAUGUAAAGCUGUACAGUAAUGGCGACCCCAAAGAGAAAGCAUGAAAGAACCUUUAGAGUAGAGUUCAACAAUUAAGGCAAGUAGACAAGCCAAAGACCUCUUAAGGAUCAGGCUUGAAGAGAAGGGAGAGUUUGGGAAAAGAAAAAAUAAAGAAAAGCUGGAAGAAGGACAAGCCAUAAUGGGAGACAAAGCUUCGCUUUAUCUACAAAAGGGGGAAAAGGUUGUUUUUCAAAGUAAAAGAUAAAGCCAUCUGUCAUUUUUGGCCAAGCAUCUCAUGACAAGUCCUUCUGACAAGCACUUAAAGAGUUAAAGGUCAAGAUGAAGUUGAAUGGUGGCCAAGAUUAAAGGAGUCAUACCUGAUAUGUCCGUGAUGCAGAAGAUGCUCUCCAUAAUUUGGAUCGAAAGUGGAUUUGUGGUCGGCAAAUAGAAAUCCAGUUUGCACAGGG
This is a long non-coding RNA of Pygoscelis adeliae (Adelie penguin), 534 nucleotides long. RefSeq lists it as uncharacterized. The record is from RefSeq and is a predicted model, not a curated record. The transcript has 3 exons. NCBI's taxonomy places the organism in Eukaryota, Metazoa, Chordata, Aves, Sphenisciformes, Spheniscidae.